This 118-nucleotide ribozyme is filed under the name Aedes aegypti (yellow fever mosquito). RNAcentral describes it as "drz-agam-1 ribozyme". It matches the Rfam family "drz-agam-1 ribozyme". The record is from Rfam by way of RNAcentral. Lineage: Eukaryota; Metazoa; Arthropoda; Insecta; Diptera; Culicidae.
UGCCCAGCAACUCUUAUCCCUAUCUCCUCGUGGUACUGGCCGUGGUACGUGUAACCUUAGGGAAGAUCGAGUAACCAACCAAGUAAGUGGGAACUUUGGUCGUAUGCUGACAGGGAAG